GAUCCACUUCUCCUCCAUCAAUCUGUCCAAGCUCCUUUUAAAACUAUCCAGAAUUACGUUAGCCGCUUUAGUCCCUCACUGAGGAAAAAGGCAGGGUGGGAGAAUCAAUAAAUACCGCCCCCCC
Long non-coding RNA from Sphaerodactylus townsendi, 124 nucleotides. RefSeq lists it as uncharacterized. NCBI's taxonomy places the organism in Eukaryota, Metazoa, Chordata, Lepidosauria, Squamata, Sphaerodactylidae. The record is from RefSeq and is a predicted model, not a curated record. The transcript has 2 exons.